Molecule: unclassified non-coding RNA, 2986 nt
Filed under: Hevea brasiliensis (rubber tree)
Lineage: Eukaryota; Viridiplantae; Streptophyta; Magnoliopsida; Malpighiales; Euphorbiaceae
Source: RNAcentral
CGACAUAAUACAACCACAAUAAUAUCCACGAGGAAAGACGCUCCUCCUUUCUUCCUCAUCCUCGUAGUCGCUGGCGGUGUCCUAUAAAUGGGUCUUUCUCCUCGACGCCUUUGUUAUCUUCCUCCUCAUCAAUCAUUUCAUCAUCCUCUUUGUUGUCGUGUUGUUUCUCAUCAACCUCUUCGUCAGACAGUUUUUGGCUUUGAUUGGCAGAUGGAAGCCAUAACUGCAUAGGAUCCACAAACCCUAGGACUGAAACUACACGAGAGCCUUUCUUCCUCGGAUUGUUUAAUGGCGGCAUCAAAGCCUAUAUUUAUACCUGGCAGAGAUUGGGCCAUGCUAGGUUUGAUUUCGAGCUAUGAAUUUUUAUUUACAUUCGGGCUUCUUUCAUCCGACACAACAAGUCAAUAGUUUGUUAUUUGGGCUGGACUAGAAAAAAUAAGUAAAUAAAGCCGAAUCUCUUUGUUGUCUUCCUCAUCAUCCUUUGGCUUCUUCAAGAGUGAUUUACGAGCAUAAGAUUAAUUAUUCCUCUUCAUGAUUCAUGCUGCAGCUUUUAUUGAUGAAUAAUUCAUCUUCAUGCUUCAUGCUGCAGCUUUUCAACGUCUCGCAUCCAUACCUUCUCGAAUUCAUAAUUUCCCUUCAAAUCUCAGCUGUCCAAUCUCUCUACUCCAUCGUCAAACCCACAGCACAGAAUAUCAACCCUCCAGUGAGCUUCUUGAUUUUUUUGAUCACCUUCUUCAGCAAUGCAUCGUUGUUGAUCGCUGCAAACAAAUCCAUACCCAUGUCAUCGUCACUGGUUGCUGUUGCUCUGCUUUCUUGGCUGCCCGUAUUAUAUCUGUCUAUGGUCGUUUUGGGCUCCUCUUUGAUGCCCACAAAGUUUUUAACAGCGCCCCUUUUGAGGGCGUCUCGAAUUUGCUUUUGUGGAAUUCAAUUUUGAGAGCUAAUGUUUCUAAUGAGAACUAUGAAAAUGCCCUUAAGCUGUAUGUUAGAAUGAGAAGGGCUGGAGUUUUUGGGGAUGGGUUUACUUUUCCUUUGGUUUUAAGGGCAUGCGCUUAUAUGGGAAAUCCUAUUUUCUGCAAAAUAGUUCAUGGGCAUGCCUUAGAAAUGGGUUUUCAGAAUCAUCUUCAUGUUGGCAAUGAGUUGAUGGGCAUGUAUGCGAAAUUGGGUCAAAUGAGAGAUGCCCACAAUGUGUUUGAUAGAAUGGGUGUAAGAAGCUAUAUUUCCUGGAAUACAAUGGUUUCGGGAUAUGCCUUUAAUUAUGACUGCAAUGGUGCUCUUGAGAUUUUUAAAAGGAUGCAGUCUGAAGGUUUGGAGCCAAAUCUUGUGACAUGGACAUCACUUAUGUCAAGCCAUGCACGUUCUGGUUGGCUUAAGGAAACUAUGGAGUUGUUUGAUUUGAUAAGGAUGAGAGGAAUUGAGGUGAGUGCUGAAGCACUUGCUGUGGUGUUAUCAGUUUGUGCUGAUUUGGGUGUAUUUUAUCGGGGUACGGUGAUUCAUGGAUUUGUCAUUAAGGGUGGGUUUGAAGAUUACUCAUUUGUGAAGAAUGCAUUAUUAUGUGUGUAUGGGAAGCAUGGAGAUGUAAAUAGUGCGAAUAACUUGUUUCUGGAAAUGAAAAAUAAGAGUAUAGCGAGUUGGAAUGCCUUGAUAACGUCACAUGCAGACGCUGGUUUAUGUGAUGAGGCUCUUGAAAUAUUUUCACAGCUGGAGAGAUCAGAAGAUUGUCCGACAUUGAGGCCUAAUGUGGUAAGUUGGAGUGCCGUAAUUGAUGGUUUUGCUUCCCAGGGGCGAGGAGGGGAAGCUUUGGAACUUUUUCGAAGAAUGCAGUUUGCUAAAGUACUGGCAAACGCUGUGACAAUUUCUACCAUUUUAUCAGUUUGUGCAGAAUUACCUGCUCUGCAUCUUGGUAGGGAAAUCCAUGGCCAUGUGAUUAGAGCAUUGAUGGACAACAACAUUCUGGUGGAAAAUGGCUUGGUUAAUAUGUACACUAAGUGUGGAUGUCUCAGAGAAGGGUACAUGGUAUUUGAGAAAAUUGAGAAGAGAGAUUUAAUCUCGUGGAACUCUAUGAUCACAGGGUAUGGGAUGCAUGGACUUGGUGUAAAAGCUCUGGAAACUUUUGAUCAAAUGAUUAAAUUGGCAUUCAAGCCGGAUGGGGUUACUUUUGUUGCUAUUAUUUCUGCUUGUGGUCAUGCUGGACUUGUUCCUGAGGGUCGUAGGCUUUUUGAUCAGAUGCUUAGGGAGUAUAGGAUUGAACCCCAGAUGGAGCACUAUGCUUGCAUGGUUGAUCUCCUAGGCCGUGCAGGGUUAUUACAAGAAGCAAGUGAAAUUGUCAAAAAUAUGCCACUAGAGCCCAAUGCUUGUGUCUGGGGUGCUCUUUUGAACUCUUGUAGAAUGCAUAACAAUACAAAAGUGGCAGGAGAAACUGCCUCCCAUAUUUUUAGUCUCAACAGGCGGGAAACGACGGGGAAUUACAUGCUGCUUUCUAAUAUAUAUGCUGCAAGUGGUAGAUGGAAGGAUUCUGCAACAGUGAGAACGUCGGCAAGAGCAAAGGGUUUAAGGAAGUAUCCUGGACAGAGUUGGAUUAAGGUGAAGAAAAAUGUUUAUAUCUUCUCUGCAGGGAACAACACGCAAAAGGGUUUGGAGAAAGUUUCUGGGAUUGUUGAGGCAUUGACACUACAAAUGGAGAGUGAAGAAUAUGUUCACAGUAAUACUAUCAUUCCACAAGACGUGGAUGAGGUAGCUAGAUUGACGAUGUGGGGAUAAAAAAAAUUCUAGCUUUUCCUGGUUUUAUUUUUGCACUGGAAUUAAAUUAAACCUCAGUUCCAAAUUAGUUUAAUUUUUGGAAUGCAGGAGACCUCCCAUUGUUUCUGCAGCUAAUGGUAGUCCAUUUAUCACUACCAAACACAGUAGCGUGGACAAAAUGUCUUUGGUUUUUCGUCGACCGGUGCUAUCGACAACAAACUCAUGUAACAGAAAUAAAUUUAUUACUACU